AUUGAACGCUGGCGGCAGGCCUAACACAUGCAAGUCGAACGAGUGGCGGACGGGUGAGUAAUGUCUGGGAAACUGCCUGAUGGAGGGGGAUAACUACUGGAAACGGUAGCUAAUACCGCAUAACAUCAGAUGUGCCCAGAUGGGAUUAGCUUGUUGGUGGGGUAACGGCUCACAAAGGCGACGAUCCCUAGCUGGUCUGAGAGGAUGACCGGCCACCUGGGACCGGAGACAAGGUCCAGACUCUGCCGGGAGGCAGCGUUGGGGAAUAUGUCACAAUGGGCGCAAGCCGGAUGCAGCCAUGCCGCGUGGAGGAAGAAGGCCUUCGGGUUGUAAAGUACUUUCAGCGAGGAGGCGUUACCCGCAGAAGAAGCCCCGGCUAACUCCGUGCCAGCCGCCGCGGUAAUUC
This 406-nucleotide ribosomal RNA is filed under the name uncultured bacterium. RNAcentral describes it as "partial 16S ribosomal RNA". It matches the Rfam family "Bacterial small subunit ribosomal RNA", at positions 30 to 526 of the family's 1533-position model. The record is from RNAcentral.